CCCGCACAAGCGGUGGAGCAUGUGGUUUAAUUCGAUGGUACGCGAGGAACCUUACCUGGGUUUGACAUACGGAGGGAAGUGGCAGCGAUGUCACUGUGUCGCGAGACGACUCCGUACAGGUGCUGCAUGGCUGUCGUCAGCUCGUGCCGUGAGGUGUCGGGUUAAGUCCCAUAACGAGCGCAACCCUUAUCGUUAGUUGCCAUCUGGUAAUGCAGGGGACUCUAGCGAAACUGCCACCGUAAGGUGAGAGGAAGUGGGGAUGACGUCAAAUCAGCACGGCCCUUAUGUCCAGGGCUACACACGUGUUACAAUGGUCGGUACAGAGGGCAGCUACCUGGUGACAGGAUGCUAAUCUCGAAAACCGGUCUCAGUUCGGAUCGAAGUCUGCAACUCGACUUCGUGAAGCUGGAUUCGCUAGUAAUCGCGCAUCAGCUAUGGCGCGGUGAAUACGUUCCCGGGCCUU
Molecule: ribosomal RNA, 463 nt
Filed under: uncultured Sphingobacteriales bacterium
Lineage: Bacteria; Pseudomonadati; Bacteroidota; Sphingobacteriia; Sphingobacteriales
Description: bacterial SSU rRNA
Rfam family: Bacterial small subunit ribosomal RNA
Source: RNAcentral